CUUCGGACUUAGCGGCGCACUUGUGAGUAACAUGUGGGAAUCUACCUAGAGGUUCGGAAUAACUGCGGGAAACUGUAGCUAAUACCGGAUGUGUCCGUAAGGAGAAAGAUUUAUUGCCUUUAGAUGAGCCCGCACUAGAUUAGCUUGUUGGUGAGGUAACUGCUCCACCAAGGCUACGAUCUAUAGCUGAUUUGAGAGGAUGAUCAGCCACACUGGGACUGAGACACGGCCCAGACUCCUACGGGAGGCAGCAGUCGGGAAUAUUGGACAAUGGGGGCAACCCUGAUCCAGCAAUGCCGCGUGAGUGAAGAAGGCCCUCGGGUUGUAAAACUCUUUCAUCAAUGAAGAUAAUGACAUUAAUUGAAGAAGAAGCUCCGGCUAACUCCGUGCUAGCAGCCGCGGUAAUACGGAGGGGGCUAGCGUUGUUCGGAAUUACUGGGCGUAAAGCGUAUGUAGGCGGAUCAAAAAGUUAGAUGUGAAAUCCCUGGGCUUAACCUAGGAACUGCAUUUACAACUAGUGAUCUAGAAUUUGGUAGGGGUUAGUAGAAUUUCCAGUGUAGAGGUGAAAUUCGUAGAUAUUGGAAAGAAUACCAGUGGCGAAGGCGACUAACUGGGCCAUUUUUGACGCUGAGAUACGAAAGCGUGGGUAGCAAACAGGAUUAGAUACCCUGGUAGUCCACGCCGUAACAGAUGAGUGCUAGUCGCUGGGUCAUAGAUCAGUGUCGAAGAUACGCAUAAGAAUCGGCUGGGAGUCGGGCGAA
This 761-nucleotide ribosomal RNA is filed under the name uncultured Alphaproteobacteria bacterium. RNAcentral's name for it is "bacterial SSU rRNA". It matches the Rfam family "Bacterial small subunit ribosomal RNA", at positions 84 to 890 of the family's 1533-position model. Lineage: Bacteria; Pseudomonadati; Pseudomonadota; Alphaproteobacteria. The record is from RNAcentral.